UUCAACCAAUUUCAGAAAUUCUGAAAUCAGUAAUGGUUCCGGGUUUACCCUAAUGAUGAGAUUUCCGUUCGGAUUGAUUUAUGAGUGAAAUUACACCAAAAAAAACGCACGCCAUGGAUUUAAUUGCCUUCUGCCUCUAUAAAUUGUCUCCGAAAAUCACAGAGCAGCAUCAGUCUCUCCGGUUCAACAUCAACCCAAACAAAGAAAGCAAUGUCAUCACAGGUUACCUGCAAACUUCAAAAGGUAGUAUGCUCAACCACACAUGACACACUCAAGAUCUUACGAUCGCUUGAAAAAGGAAAAACAAGUAUCAUUACCGUCCGUGUUACCAGAAAAUGGGAAGAGUUGGACUUUAUGUCGACCAACGACAUUACCAGCGUUGAUAUGGUUACUGUUGACGAGCAGGGGAAGAGUUGCAUGCCGUCAUACCCAAAAAUCUUAUUUGAAAGUUUGAUAAGUAGAUUCGGGAUGGGUAUCUGUACUCUAUGGAGAAACUACACUUGACCACUGCUAAACCCAAGGGAGGGCCUUUGCUAGAAGAACUGGGUCUUAGAUAAAGGUUUUAAUGUAUAUUGUAACAUCUUCCCGAUAAAUCGAGGAAGCAAAUGUAUAUUAUAACAUCUUUCAAUUACGCAGUUACUGUUGUGUUGCUAAAUACAAUAAUGAGGAUCGUUCCUGCACCAUGGAUGGCCAGAUGAAUGCUUCAGCUAGAAAUCACAACAUUUUCGGAUGGAAAGCAAGCAAAUUUUCAUAAUCAAUACUGGAAUGCUCUUUGAGAUAAGAGUAAGGUAAACCUACUCAUGACAACCACAAGAGCUAUACAUAUACCAUCUUGGUUGUAUUUCACAGCAAGAUUUUUCUCCCAGUGCUCUGAUUUAUUUUAAAACUUGGCUAAGCUUGAUUAAUCUGGGUGUUUUAGGCCGUAGUUUGAGAAUUUUCGAGAGUCUUUAUACUGGAUACGGACUUUCAACCUUAGCAAUCUAACAGUCUAACUAACUCUUGAGUCUCAUUCGGUAUAUAUUGGAGCUAAAUGAUCGUUACAAAUUUGAGUAAUAAAUUUUGAUUUAUCUUUAGGCUUUUUCGUAAUUUUGUUCUCAACAAAAUAGCUUUUGGAUCAUACGCAGUUCUAAUUUGAAAUGUUUGAUUACGAAAUCUUUUGAUAUACAUCAUAAUGUAAUUUGAUUGACUAUGUCUGACAUUAUAAUCCAGGAAAAUACACUUGGAUUGUGUUGCAUCUCACACAUUUUAUUUAGAUCCCAGACCAACUGGAAUUCAACAACUCAGGGUUUUGCAUUUUAUUGAGAUCCAGCAACAAAUAAUUCUUAAUUACUUUAAAUUUGGUCUUCUGUUUUCUAUUUAUUGAAUUUGAAUGGAAAUUCUGUUAACCUGCUCAAUGUUUUAAAAAGCGAAAGCGUAAAUCGAUAUGCUCUCCUAGCAAAGCGUAAAACGCUACUAAAAAGCGUUAUCAAAGCGCCGCUUCACUAAAUACAUAAAUAUUUAAAAAGCGUUAUCUCCCAUUUAUAUUUUGAAUAUGAUAGGGUUCAAGCUACUAUCAAUUAAUUGUGUAGUGAGCACAAUCUAACAUAAAUAGAAGAUAAUACUUAACAAAAAUUUAAAACUCCUACAACUGACGCUUUGCGGGAACUUAUUCGGGAAUGUGUUUUAGGGAAUAUGUAUUGGUCGUUAAAUUUAGAAUUUAAUAUAAUGAAGUUCAUCUGUGUACUUGCUUUUUAAUUUUUAAUCGGGAAAUUUUUCCGUCCAUGUGUCAUAAAAAAACUUCGUUAGGUUUAGAUACUAUGUUCAUCUGUUAUAUGCGACUUCUUUACAUUCUUCCGAAAUUUACCUUUGCUUUCUACAUACUGAUGUGGUUCGAUACAUCUUUUUGCAGCCACAUUGAGCUAUUAGUUUCUUUGUAAAUACUUCAAAAUUGUAAUUUGGUGCUUUGAUAAUUGCCUAAGGUAAGUUAAUAAUUACCGGCUCUCAUCGGCUCUUAAUUUAAGAAAUUUUACCGGCUACCAUCGGCUCUCAUUGCCUAAAGUAAGUUAAUUGUACUGGUUUCUUCAUUAUUCUUAUCGGCUCUCAUCGGCACUUAAUUUAAGCAAGGAAAUAAAUCAGACUAAGGUAUACAAAUUUUCUAAGGUAAGUUAAUAGUUAGGCAAUACUUUAUCUUUUUUUCAACUGCUUCAUCAAGAAAUUUUACUAAUGUCCCUGCCAAAAGAUUAAUGCAGGCGAUAAAUUGGUGCUACUGCGAGAAUGAGUUCAAGCAAGUAAGGAAAUAUUAUUAGCAAACAAAAUCAGGGAAGACACCAAGAGAAUUAGGAGCACAGAAAGUAACAUAUUAAUCUCAUCACAUUAUGGAAAGAGUUUGUUUGUUCUUGAAUGUACGAUUACGCAUUCUUUUGUCAGAAUAAUGAAAAUUUUUACUCCUUUCACUAUGAAUUUGUAGGGGAAGUUCCUUUCUGAUGGUGGAGGUGGUAAAGAACGAAAGAGCGUGUCUUACAUGCCCUCUUUUGAGUUUUGAAAAUAUUAUUGGUUAAGAGUGUGUUGGCAGUGAAACUAUUAACUGGCAAAGGUUUAUUUUUUGGAACAACGGUUUUUCUUUUUUGCUCGAUUUUUGGGAACAACGAUUUAUGGUUUCAACAAGAAUCCAAUAAGAUAAUUGAACUUCUGUUUAUGUAGUCUGCCAUUAAUAAUAGAUUGUUGAGUCAACUAUUAGGAGUCUCG
Long non-coding RNA from Papaver somniferum (opium poppy), 2724 nucleotides. RefSeq lists it as uncharacterized. Lineage: Eukaryota; Viridiplantae; Streptophyta; Magnoliopsida; Ranunculales; Papaveraceae. The transcript has 5 exons. The record is from RefSeq and is a predicted model, not a curated record.